This 497-nucleotide ribosomal RNA is filed under the name uncultured bacterium. RNAcentral's name for it is "partial 16S ribosomal RNA". It matches the Rfam family "Bacterial small subunit ribosomal RNA", at positions 28 to 507 of the family's 1533-position model. The record is from RNAcentral.
GACGAACGCUGGCGGCGUGCCUAAUACAUGCAAGUUGAGCGCUGAAGGUUGGUACUUGUACCAACUGGAUGAGCAGCGCACGGGUGAGUAACGCGUGGGGAAUCUGCCUUUGAGCGGGGGACAACAUUUGGAAACGAAUGCCAAUACCGCAUAAAAACUUUAAACACAAGUUUUAAGUUUGAAAGAUGCAAUUGCAUCACUCAAAGAUGAUCCCGCGUUGUAUUAGCUAGUUGGUGAGGUAAAGGCUCACCAAGGCGAUGAUACAUAGCCGACCUGAGAGGGUGAUCGGCCACAUUGGGACUGAGACACGGCCCAAACUCCUACGGGAGGCAGCAGUAGGGAAUCUUCGGCAAUGGACGAAAGUCUGACCGAGCAACGCCGCGUGAGUGAAGAAGGUUUUCGGAUCGGAAAACUCUGUUGGUAGAGAAGAACGUUGGUGAGAGUGGAAAGCUCAUCAAGUGACGGUAACUACCCAGAAAGGGACGGCUAACUACGUG